GCUCGCUUCAGCAGAACAUACACUAAAAUUGGAAUGAUACAAAAAAGAUUAACAUGGCCCUGUGCAAUGACGACAAGCAAAUUCAUGAAGAAUUCUGUAUUUAA
Small nuclear RNA from Eptesicus fuscus (big brown bat), 104 nucleotides. The record is from RefSeq and is a predicted model, not a curated record. NCBI's taxonomy places the organism in Eukaryota, Metazoa, Chordata, Mammalia, Chiroptera, Vespertilionidae.